RNAcentral lists this long non-coding RNA (1492 nucleotides) under Malus domestica (apple). RNAcentral describes it as "long non-coding RNA (MDOM_LNC012304)". Lineage: Eukaryota; Viridiplantae; Streptophyta; Magnoliopsida; Rosales; Rosaceae. The record is from RNAcentral.
UUCAUCCGAGGGCAUCUUUGCUCCCUCUUCGUUCCGUCCUGUCCCGUCUGCAUACCAAACGAUACAAUGAACUGCUUUUUGUACUUUUAAGCUAUAACAAUGGAUAUUUCUCUCAUUUUCGACUUCAAGGAAAAUCUCUUGUUUUGGAAUCUGGCUCACAACAAUGUUUCUGACUAUAUUUGGCAAAGCAUGUGUUGAAAUUUUGAGUUUUUUUGGCUUGAAAGUAAAAGAAAUAUUGAGUUAUUUUUUCUUUGUUACAUUUGAGGAAAUUGAUUAUUUUACCUAUCUUAAUUCUAAUAUUUUAUCCACCAUCUUUCGCUACUUAGGCUAAUGCCACUAAUCCAAUGACUUUGAUAUCGAAUGAAUGACUUCAUGGAUGUAUGUUGAAAACAAAUAAAAAUAUCCUGUGAUUUUUCUUUUUUUGGUUAUAUUCGAGUAAACCAAAUAAUUGACUUAUCCUAAUCCUAACCUAUUUCCCCACCGUCCUUCACUACUUCGGCUUAACCCCAACACAACAAUGUAAUAUUCUAAGCACUCAUGGAAUGACAUGGAGUGUAAUUUGAACCAUAAAACCUAUCAAAAAUAUGAGGAGUAGUCCAAUUAUAUGAACUGAUCAUCUUUGCCGAUGACACUAAUCUCCAAUCUUUUGUGCCAUGAUUUUUCUCGUUUGUUUGAACUGCUUUUUGUACUAGUAAGAUGUAACAAUGAAUAAUUUCUCGUUUUCGGUUUGGUUUCAAAGAAAAUCUCGUUUCAGAAUCUGGCUCACAACAAUGUUUCUGACUAUAUUUGCAAAACCUAUGUGCUGAAAUUUUGGAUUUUUUUUGCUUGAAAAAGAAAAGAAAGAAAUAUAGAGUUAUUUUUUUCUCUGUUACAUUUGGGAAAAUCGAUUAUUUAGCCUAUCUUAAUUCUAAUAUGUUACCCACCAUCUUUCACUACUUGGGCUAAUCCAAUGACUUUGCUAUUGAACGAAUAUGACGUUAUGGAUGUAUUUUGAAAACAAAUAAAAAAAUUCAAUGACUUUUCUGUUUUUCGGUUACAUUAGAGUAAACGAACAGUUGACCUAUCCCAAUCCUAACCUAAUACCCACAGUUCUUCACCACUUGGGCUAAACCCCGACACAACAAUGUAAUAUUCUAAGCAUUCAGGGAAUGACGGGGAGUGUAGUUUGAACCAUAAAACCCAUUAAGAAUCCGAGUGGUCCAAUUCUUUAUAAGCACAUGUGUUAAUCACGCUUUACCAAACAAAACACAAAUCAAGUUGGACAACUACGUCCAGCUCCAGCUAAUUCCAAUGCUAAGCCUAAGUCAAUGUAGGAAGGAAACAAGUUUUAUCCAUGCUCGAUAAAAAGCAAUCACUCUCCACCAAGGCAGAAAUAUUCUUAUCCUUACACACAACACAACUCAACACAUGGAACAGAACUGCUUGUUUCAAAUUUUGCUAGAUAUGGGUUUUACUCACUUUGGAUAGGAAUGUCAGCCAACGUGUUAAGUGA